Ochotona princeps (American pika) is the source of this 1117-nucleotide long non-coding RNA. RefSeq lists it as uncharacterized. The transcript has 8 exons. The record is from RefSeq and is a predicted model, not a curated record. Lineage: Eukaryota; Metazoa; Chordata; Mammalia; Lagomorpha; Ochotonidae.
UGAACCAGACCAGGAUAGCUAGAGAAGGCAUUCCAAAAUCACCUGUAGUCGGAGUUCAGACUCCCACGCAGCUGUGCUGUUAGCGGUGCUGACUUGAGUUCAGUUAGGCCCAAACUUCCACCGGAUGUUGUAGAACUUUGCCGAAGUGCGGUGUGCAGACCAGCAAGCAGCAUCGGCAUCACUUGGGAGCUUAUUACAAUUUGGAACUUCAGGUCCUCAGACCUACAGAUACAGAAUUUGCAUUUUAACAAGAUCCCUAGAUGAUUUCUGCGCAUACCAUGCAUAUUAAAGUUUGAGAAAUACCACUCCACCAGCAGUCUAGUCAAGACUGAAUGAAGCUGAUGUCAGUGGGAGAACAUGAUUUUGAGGCCUACUGGGGUUGACGUGCCUGUAUUCAUGCAAGCCUUAAGACUGGUGUUCGAUGUCAAAUCUGCAUUACUCCAAAGGCAAUAUUCUGAGAACUUCAUGUAACAAUUCGCUUUAUCCUUUCGACAAAAGCAGAAGCACAUCUUUCUGAAUAAAAGAGUGAGUGGAUUAAGGAGUCAAUGAAUGUAAAACAUGCCACACUGCACUGCUUUUCAAAAUCUCGGUUCUCCACCACACCAUUAUGCUGAAGCACAGUUUGGCAAAGAGUGAAAACUGUAUGAUUUCAGGGAUGCUGGGCCUGAGCGGAGAGGAGAGUGGAGAAGAGUAUUGGAGCACGCUCUGGAAGGAUGGAGGCAAGGUUCCAGCAAAGCAAAGCAUUUGUGCUACAUGUUCUGGUGCCAGCCUGCUUGAGAUCUGACUAGCCAGUGUCAGCCUACUUAAGAUCUGACUAUCCGAGUGAGCUCAGGAAAACCGACCACGCUGGCCCUUUGAGUGAUGGGUCCAAGGGCACAGGUGGAAUAGUGAUGGCUGCCACCAGAGGAAUGAGCAGACACCUGCCCUUGCCACCGCCACCCACCUGGACUCAAGGCAACUCCGUGAUGGACCAGAUAACAUUCAUUUAUUGACUGACUUACUCCAGGAAUUGGCUCAGUUAUGAGGUCAAGGAGUACUGAGAUCUGCCCUCUGCACUUUGAGGACCAGGAGGACCAGGAGUGGGAUCGCAGCUGUGCUCCAAAGCAUCAGGGCCAGG